GUAAGCAGCUAAUCGAUGCAUGUAAAUGUAUAGGAAAGUCCAUGCUUGCAUAGACUGUGAUGUCUAUAGUGUCUUUACUGGAUAAUAAUUAAUAAAACCAGGUAUUAGUAAACUCUAAUAACGACCACGAAUGUUCUAAGGUUAUAAGAGAUUAUAACUAUGAACACUAGUGAUAAAGUGCAACAGAAACGAGUUAAUAAGAAAUUAUUAAAUGAAACGGGUAAACUCUAAAGGCAAGAAACCCAAAAUAAAGGUAGGGGAACGAGUUGGGUAGAAACGAAUAUAACCAACUCGCAGGAAACUGAGAUAAAUGAUUAGCAUCUAGCAAUAGAUACAGAACAUGGCUUAUCGCU
This 353-nucleotide RNase P RNA is filed under the name Mycoplasmataceae bacterium. Its description in RNAcentral is "RNase P RNA component class B". It matches the Rfam family "Bacterial RNase P class B". From Rfam's summary of the family: Ribonuclease P (RNase P) is a ubiquitous endoribonuclease, found in archaea, bacteria and eukarya as well as chloroplasts and mitochondria. Its best characterised activity is the generation of mature 5'-ends of tRNAs by cleaving the 5'-leader elements of precursor-tRNAs. Cellular RNase Ps are ribonucleoproteins. The record is from RNAcentral. Lineage: Bacteria; Bacillati; Mycoplasmatota; Mollicutes; Mycoplasmatales; Mycoplasmataceae.